Molecule: non-coding RNA, 105 nt
Organism: Paramuricea clavata
Lineage: Eukaryota; Metazoa; Cnidaria; Anthozoa; Malacalcyonacea; Plexauridae
Source: the annotation of a GenBank genome assembly
CCUAUAUGGGGGUCUUUUACUACUUGCCUGAUUACACUUGGUUUUAUCCGGUACAGCACGUACCGGAUAAAACCAAGUGUAAUCAGGCAAGUAGUAAAAGCGAAG